RNAcentral lists this ribosomal RNA (442 nucleotides) under uncultured bacterium. RNAcentral describes it as "partial 16S ribosomal RNA". It matches the Rfam family "Bacterial small subunit ribosomal RNA", at positions 338 to 795 of the family's 1533-position model. The record is from RNAcentral.
CCUACGGGAGGCAGCAGUGGGGAAUAUUGGGCAAUGGGCGCAAGCCUGACCCAGCAACGCCGCGUGAAGGAAGAAGGCUUUCGGGUUGUAAACCUCUUUUUAUAGGGAAGAGCAGAAGACGAUACCUCCUGAAUAAGCUACGGCUAACUACGUGCCAGCAGCCGCGGUAAUACGUAGGUCGCAAGCGUUGUCCGGAUUUACUGGGUGUAAAGGGCGUGUAGCCGGGCUGACAAGUCAGAUGUGAAAUUCCGGGGCUCAACCCCGGACCUGCGUUUGAAACUGUUGGUCUUGAGUAUCGGAGAGGCAGGCGGAAGUCGUGGUGUAGCGGUGAAAGGCGUAGAUAUUAGGAGGAACACCGGUGGCGAAGGCAGCCUGCUGGACGACAACGGACGGUGAGGCGCGAAAGCGUGGGGAGCAAACAGGAUUAGAUACCCGGGUAGUC